RNAcentral lists this ribosomal RNA (537 nucleotides) under Melitaea athalia. RNAcentral describes it as "Mellicta athalia partial 16S ribosomal RNA". The stretch from base 400 to 537 matches the Rfam family "Archaeal large subunit ribosomal RNA", at positions 2542 to 2680 of the family's 2987-position model. Lineage: Eukaryota; Metazoa; Arthropoda; Insecta; Lepidoptera; Nymphalidae. The record is from RNAcentral.
UCAAAAACAUGUCUUUUUGAAAAUAAUUUAAAGUCUAAUCUGCCCACUGAUAUAAUUAUUAAAGGGCUGCAGUAUAUUGACUGUACAAAGGUAGCAUAAUCAUUAGUCUUUUAAUUGAAGACUUGUAUGAAAGAUUUGAUGAAAUAUAUACUGUCUCUAAUUUAUGAAUAAAAAUUAAUUUUUUAGUUAAAAAGCUAAAAUAAUAUUAAAAGACGAGAAGACCCUAUAAAGUUUUAUAAUUUAUUUAUUUAAUAUUAAUUAUAUAAAUAAAUAUAAUAAUUAAUUUAAAUUAUUUUAUUGGGGUGAUAAAAAAAUUUAAUUAACUUUUUUUAAAAAAUAAACAUAAAUAAGUGUGAUAAUGAUCCAUUAUUAAUGAUUAAAAGAAAAAAUUACUUUAGGGAUAACAGCGUAAUAUUUUUUUUUAGUACAAAUAAAAAAAAAAGUUUGCGACCUCGAUGUUGGAUUAAGAUAAAAUUUAAGUGCAAAAGUUUAAAAUUUUGAUCUGUUCGAUCAUUAAAAUCUUACAUGAUCUGAGCU